AAGAAGUCUGGCCGAGUGGAGACGGAUCUCUUCUGCUGUUUGCGCACGACAAAGGAUGCGUGCCUGCCGGCUACAAGUAGUGUUCCUUUGUACUUUAUGGAAGACGAUGAUACCUGCCUCAGAUGCUGUCAUCACAAAUAACAGAUUCUUCGCUCUGCCCCACAUACCCACAGCCAAUGUCGAAAUGGUCUUACCUUAUGCCAAGAGUACCUUGCAGUGCUUUGGGGCAUGCGCCAGUCACCAGCCCUCUUGUCAGGGAUUCGUUGUGAACAGCGUUGACUUGACUCAGCCAUGUACACUUCUAAUAGGUCUAACAGGCCUGAAGAACCCAGCCACGCUUAACGUCAAGGCCUACGUCACCAGAAUCAUCGACGGGCAGGUCAUCCACUACGACGCCUCACUAAGAAACUGGUCG
Long non-coding RNA from Macrobrachium nipponense, 415 nucleotides. RefSeq lists it as uncharacterized. The transcript is spliced from 3 exons. Lineage: Eukaryota; Metazoa; Arthropoda; Malacostraca; Decapoda; Palaemonidae. The record is from RefSeq and is a predicted model, not a curated record.